UGUUUCAGAGUCGGGGUUGCCCCCCAACCCCCAAGCAGAGUGGCACACGUGGCAGGCACCCACCCUGUGACGAGCCCUGUAUCAGAGCAUGACGCCUCCCAUUAACACAGCAGUCUUCCUCCUGCGGUUGGACUGCUUUGGGGGCCAAACAUUAGUGGGAACGAGGCCUGGGCCUGGGCCUGGCCUGGACUGUAGAGACCACAGACAUGCCCUGGAGACUGGCCGUCAUUGCUCACCGGGGCCGCUCACCGCCGAGGGGCGCGGGCACGCGACUGUCAGGCUGGAAGCGGCGCCCCACCCCACGGCCUCGCCGCCCAUUCCAGAAACCGCGUUUACACUUCUCCCGAGCGUGGUGCUCCGGAAAGCUCCCUCAGGCCCAGCGCCGCCCCCGGGGGCCUGGGCUCCAGAGCCUCCUUCCCACGCGGGUCAAGGCGCUGCGGGCUGCCCGGGUGCGACCUGAGCUCAGAGAUCCCACUCAGCUCAGGGCCCGCCUUGCCCUCCUGCAGGAAUCCUCUCGUAGCCACACGCACCUCCACCCGGGUGAUGGGUCCAUCCCACUCAAGGCACAAUCUGCAACGGAGCAGCCACCAGCUCAGAGUGGGAGUGUGCACACGCUCCACACACACACACACACACACACCACAGAACACACACACGGACCACACACAGACCAGCCACAGAUUUAUAAACACACCACCACAGUACACGCCCACCACACACAGACCAGCCACAGAUUUACACACGCACCACAGUACACGCUCACCAUACACAGACCAGCCACGGAUUUACACACACAUCACAGUACACACUCACCACACACACACCAGCUACGACUUACACACACAUCACAGUACAUGCUCACCACACACAGACCAGCCACAGAUUUACACACACACCACAGUGCACACACACCACAGUGCACACACACCACGGUGCACACGCCCAGUGUUGCAGCCCACAUACUCGUAUGCUGCUUUCUCUCCAUUCGCUUCUGCAUCUUGUUGCAGCCUCCUCUGGAGUGCCCCCUUUGACCCAGGGGCCACUGAGAGGAGUGUGUGCUUGCUUCCUUAC
This 1071-nucleotide long non-coding RNA is filed under the name Capra hircus (goat). RNAcentral describes it as "lncRNA (ENSCHIG00010014434.1)". Lineage: Eukaryota; Metazoa; Chordata; Mammalia; Artiodactyla; Bovidae. The record is from RNAcentral.